UAAGCGGAGNAAAAGAAACUAACAAGGAUUCCCCUAGUAACUGCGAGUGANGCGGGAAAAGCUCAAAUUUAAAAUCUGGUGGCCUCUGGUCAUCCGAGUUGUAAUUUAGAGAAGCGUCUUCCGCGCUGGACCAUGCACAAGUCUCCUGGAAUGGAGCGUCAUAGAGGGUGAGAAUCCCGUCUUUGGCAUGGAUGCACCAGGGCUUCUGUGAUGCGCUCUCAAAGAGUCGAGUUGUUUGGGAAUGCAGCUCAAAAUGGGUGGUGAACUCCAUCUAAAGCUAAAUAUUGGCGAGAGACCGAUAGCGAACAAGUACCGUGAGGGAAAGAUGAAAAGCACUUUGGAAAGAGAGUGAAACAGUACGUGAAAUUGUUGAAAGGGAAACGCUUGAAGUCAGUCGCGUCGACCGAGACUCAGCCUCGCCUUGGCUUGGUGUACUUCUCGGCUGACGGGUCAGUGUCAAUUUUGGGCCUCGGAUAAUGACAAGGGAAAGGUGGCACCUUUAUAGGUGUGUUAUAGUCUCCUGUCGGAUGCGGGGGUCGGGAUUGAGGAACUCAGCACGCGCCUUUUGGUGUCGGGGCUUCGGCCUACGCUACGUGCUUAGGAUGCUGGCAUAAUGGCUUUAAACGACC
This 629-nucleotide ribosomal RNA is filed under the name uncultured Russulaceae. Its description in RNAcentral is "LSU rRNA". It matches the Rfam family "Eukaryotic large subunit ribosomal RNA", at positions 47 to 649 of the family's 3401-position model. The record is from RNAcentral. Lineage: Eukaryota; Fungi; Basidiomycota; Agaricomycetes; Russulales; Russulaceae.